AGCAGCCGCGGUAAUUCCAGCUCCAAUAGCGUAUAUUAAAGUUGUUGCAGUUAAAGAGCUCGUAGUUGAAUUUCGGGAUCAAUAUAUCGGUCGUGCCUUGGUACGUACUGGUAUCAUUGGUUUCUCCUUUCUGACGAACCAUGAUGUCAUUAAUUUGGUGUUAUGGGAAGUUAGGACUGUUACUUUGAAAAAAUUAGAGUGUUUAAAGCAGGCUUUAGCUUGAAUACAUUAGCAUGGAAUAAUGAAAUAGGACGUUCGAACCUAUUUUGUUGAUUUCUAGGAUCAACGUAAUGAUUAAUAGGGAUAGUUGGGGGCAUUAGUAUUCAAUUGUCAGAGGUGAAAUUCUUGGAUUUAUUGAAGACUAACUACUGCGAAAGCAUUUUGCCAAGGAUGUUUUCAUUAAUCAAGAACGAAAGUUAGGGGAUCGAAGACGAUCAGAUACCGUCGUAGUCUUAACCAUAAACUAUGCCGACUAGGGAUCGGAUGAUGUCAAUUUUUUCAAUGACUCAUUCGGCGCCUU
Molecule: unclassified non-coding RNA, 520 nt
Filed under: uncultured Glomus
Lineage: Eukaryota; Fungi; Glomeromycota; Glomeromycetes; Glomerales; Glomeraceae
Description: SSU rRNA
Rfam family: Eukaryotic small subunit ribosomal RNA
Source: RNAcentral